Homo sapiens (human) is the source of this 607-nucleotide long non-coding RNA. Ensembl annotates it as long intergenic non-protein coding RNA 314. The record is from Ensembl. Lineage: Eukaryota; Metazoa; Chordata; Mammalia; Primates; Hominidae.
CAGACAUGUAUCUCAUUAUCUUCUGCAAAGAUCUAUUUGUUUAGCCAUGUGCAAAUAUUGCCCUAAAAUGUUCACAGGUUCCAGGAUAACCAGAUGACUGAGGAAUGUUGAAGAUUGCAGUGAUGGAAGUGUCUCAGUCAGCCUGGAAGACUGUAUGGAAGGAGGUUGCCUGGCCACACUGUCAUGUCCCCCUCUCCCUAAAAAAGGGACACAUUUGCCUUUGUGCAAGGCAACACAUACAUUUGGUCUGUGUAUAUACUUUGGUCUAUGUAUUCUGUUAUUUAACAUUCUAAUAAUGUUGAUGACCUUAAAAUAUGUUUGACAAUGAUCCUUGUAAAUCAUUAUUAUUCUGCCUUCUGCAAGAUAAGAAUUAUGGGCCAGGUAUGGCACUUAACGCCUAUAAUACAAACAUUUUGGGAGGCCCAGGCAGGAGGAUUGCUUGAGCUCAGGAGUUAGAGACCAGCUUGGGCAACAUAGUGAGACCUCAUCUCUACUAAAAAUAAAACAAAAAAAGUUAUGAUAGUGACACUGCACUCCAGCCUGGGUGACAGAGCAAGAUCCUGUAUCCAAAUAAAUAAAUGCCUAAUAUAGGAAUUAUCAAAUUCAA